RNAcentral lists this long non-coding RNA (815 nucleotides) under Heterocephalus glaber (naked mole-rat). Its description in RNAcentral is "lncRNA (ENSHGLG00100046467.1)". The record is from RNAcentral. Lineage: Eukaryota; Metazoa; Chordata; Mammalia; Rodentia; Bathyergidae.
GCUCUCCUCAAAGCUUGAAAAGAUGUAAAGAUGUAAGGAUAUAUUACUGUGAUAGUUAUCUGUGUCAACUCGAGUGAGAGAUGCCCAAUGAAAUUGAAUCAGCAUAGUUCUGAGUGUAACUCAGGCAAUUUACUGAAGACAGAAGACCCACUCUAGUGCAGAUUGUCACCUGAAUGGCAUAAAAGGGAAAUGAAAAAAGGAUCCCUUCUGUUUCUUUGGAGGAGCACCAGUCUUUGCUUUCACUUUGGAUGUCAUCUCAUCAUCUCCUGGCUUCCAGCACAGAUGCUUCAGCCUCCUGAUAUGGACUUGCAUGGGACGCUACACUGAGCUCCAAGCCUUUGACUGGAUCCUUUGGAUCUCCAUUGUGCAAAUAGACCUUUUGCACUUUUUCUCACAUGACUCUGUGGACGACCAUUGUAAUGAAAACAUCCCCAUGACCAGACAUCCUCAGGAAUAAUUCCUCUUGACUGCAGUAAGUACCUACUUUUGAAGAACAGAAAGCUGAUGAAUGGCAGGCUUCCCUGCUGCUAAAUUCAUCUAACAAGGCACUCCUGAUGUGUUCUGAUUUUAAGGCCAAAGAAAACUGUAUAGAUCGGUUUGAUGUUCUUUUCCUUGAUAAAGAAAAGACUUUUGAGUUGUGCAUGUUUAUGUUGGUAAAUAAAUUCUGGUGUGAAAUGGAAUCCAAGAAUCAAGCCUAAGGCAUCAAAAACAGUACUAACAUGAUUUUGUAGGCAUACUGCCUUUGGUGCUUCUAGGACAAGUUCUGCAAAGCUAAAGUAUGGGUGAAAAAUCUGUAGUAAUUUUCACCUUUGGAC